AUUGAACGCUGGCGGCAUGCCUUACACAUGCAAGUCGAGCGGCAGCGCGGGGGCAACCCUGGCGGCGAGCGGCGGACGGGUGAGUAAUACAUCGGAACGUGUCCUUUUGUGGGGGAUAACCAGUCGAAAGACUGGCUAAUACCGCAUGAGAUCUCACGAUGAAAGCGGGGGACCCGCAAGGGCCUCGCGCAAUUGGAGCGGCCGAUGUCGGAUUGGCUAGUUGGCGGGGUAAAAGCCCACCAAGGCUACGAUCCGUAGCUGGUUUGAGAGAACGACCAGCCACACUGGGACUGAGACACGGCCCAGACUCCUACGGGAGGCAGCAGUGGGGAAUUUUGGACAAUGGGGGCAACCCUGAUCCAGCCAUGCCGCGUGUGUGAAGAAGGCCUUCGGGCUGUAAAGCUCUGUCGCCCGGGACGAACGGUCGUAAGGUUAACAGCCUUAUGGAUUGACGGUACCGGGAGAGGAAGCACCGGCUAACUCUGUGCCAGCCGCCGCCGUAA
RNAcentral lists this ribosomal RNA (503 nucleotides) under uncultured bacterium. Its description in RNAcentral is "partial 16S ribosomal RNA". It matches the Rfam family "Bacterial small subunit ribosomal RNA", at positions 28 to 523 of the family's 1533-position model. The record is from RNAcentral.